Molecule: ribosomal RNA, 137 nt
Filed under: uncultured eukaryote
Lineage: Eukaryota
Description: partial 18S ribosomal RNA
Rfam family: Eukaryotic small subunit ribosomal RNA
Source: RNAcentral
UGGUGGAGCGAUUUGUCUGGUUUAUUCCGAUAACGAACGAGACUCCAACCUACUAACUAGAUCAUUGAGAUCAUUGCGUCUCCAGCACUUCUUAGAGGGACAAGCAGUGUUUAGCUGCAUGAGAAGGAGCAAUAACA